This 227-nucleotide long non-coding RNA is filed under the name Elaeis guineensis (African oil palm). RNAcentral describes it as "long non-coding RNA (EGUI_LNC030112)". The record is from RNAcentral. Lineage: Eukaryota; Viridiplantae; Streptophyta; Magnoliopsida; Arecales; Arecaceae.
GGCCUUCCUUCCUUCUUCAACAUUCAAAUCUCUGCUGGUGAGUCAACUCUGGCCAAUCCAUUAUUGGCUAGAUGACUCAUCAAAGCUACUCUUCUUCUGACUUAUCAGAAGAACAGGAAGAAUCGGAUGGUGUCCGAGAUGUUUUCUUCUUUUUAUCUGACGAUACUUGGGGAAAUUUUCUGACAUUUUUUUUUAUUUUCAGUGGGUGCACGAUAUGCACGCUUUAG